CAGAGAAUGCACACCAAAAAAAAAAAAUACAGAAUUAAUAUCUUGGUUUAAUAAGCAAAUAUCUGAUUUACCAAUAUGAUUUAAAUAUAACACAAAUAAAGUGAUAGUAAACAGGCAAAACAAAAAAAUCUACAGCAAAUAUUUACCACAAUCCGAUAGGGCAGAAUCAUGAAUACAAAGAACCCCCCAACUUUUCGGCACCUCCUGGAUGCCUUUAUCAAGGGCGUUUAGGUACCUAAACACCACAAGUUUAAAAAAAGACCCCUAUCGGAUCUGACACUGUGUCAGUAGUAAUGGUGUAAAUACACACUAAAUGGAUGAGAGCCCAAUGGGUAAUCUACAAUGGAUAUCUAUUUGGCAGAAAAAUGUUGGCAAAAUAUGAAAAAAAUUGAAAAGAUUAAAAAAUAAAGUAAAAUUCAAAAAAUAAUGGCAAAAUAUGAAAAAAUUUAUAUACAGUCCCAGUGUGCACACACUAAAAUGGGUAUCAACUGAUGGAUGGCAUUGGAUGGAUUUCACCACUCUUGCUGAUGAAGAAAGUCCUGGAUGAACUGCAGUUUGGGAAGUGUAAUGGCUUAAUCAAGCCUAUAGGUGAGCCUUUUCUUCAUAUGCAGAUCCUAGUAGUUCCUUCUCAGUUGUCCUGCCGUGUGGAAGAUGAAGUGCCUGGGGUCUCUCUGCCGAUGGGGUGUCUGGGCUGCGCGCUCGGGACUUCAAUAGGCACCGGCCUAUAACUAUACCAACCAAUACUGGGAAAUGGGGGGCUUCUCUCUAGAAUUGUGAUAUAAUGAGUCAGAAUGACACCUGGCUGGCGUGGGCCUCUAACCAUAUUGACCAAUACUGGGAGAUGGGGGAUUUAUCCAGUAACACGACUUGAGGCUCCGGCCACACCCAUAAUAACACUAGCUGCGAGGUGUAGGGUAGCAUUGUGAGAUGAUGCAAACAGUAGUGUAUAGCAAUUUGAUAUUCAUUUCCUGCAUUCUCUUUGCACUAUAUAGUGAAUAGUGACAGAUGAGCUUAUGUACAAUUCUCUCAGUAAAUAUGAAUGACUGGAUCGGAAGGUAUGACAAUGUUAGACUGGUUAGAAUUUAGAACAUGCCUUUUGAACAUGCCAGUGUGUUUUGGUGUAUCAAUUGAUAUUUAAGGGAACACUAUAAUCAAAACAACCAUAGCUUAAUGAUGCGGCUUACGUGAUGAUCCCCUUAGUGACCAGACCGUUUUCCAACUUACCGUUAAAGACCAGGGCUCUUUUUACAUUUCUGCUGUGUUUGUGUUUAGCUGUAAUUUUCCUCUUACUUAUUUACUGUACCCACACAUAUGAUAUACAUUUUUUCUCGCUAUUAAAUGGUCCUUCUAAAAAAAAACAAUUUAUCAUAUCAUAUAAUUUACAAUAAAAACAAAUUAUAUUAUGAUGAAAACUUUUUUUUUUUUAAACACACUUUUUCUAACUUUGAACCCCAAAAUCUGUUACGCAUCUACAACUGCCAAAAAACACCCAUGCUAAAUAGUUUCUAAAUUUUGUCCCGAGUUUAGAAAUACCCAAUGUUAACAUGUUCUUAGCUUUUUUUUUUUUGCAGGUUAUAGAGCAAUAAAUACAAGUAGCACUUUGCUCUUUAGAAUAAGGUAUCUUGAUACUUGGGGUACUUUCUCCUUUUUUCACAUGUAUAUCCUCCUACUAGCUUGGAGUAUACACGUACUCGGUGUACUUUAAUAUGUCCCUGUUGGGAUAUUUUUAAUUAUACCUAAUAAAAGCUACAUUUUAGGAAUUAUUUGUUCUUUGGUGUUUUACCAUAUUCCAUUUAUUGAUUUUCAUGCGUUUAGGGCUCAGACCCCUAGUUACAGUGGUGGAGUCUAUUCACUUUAUCACUUUUCAACCAACAGUGGACAUGGAAGAAUCUCAUUUUCCUUUUAUUAUAUAUUUCACACAACAAUAGGUUUUUAGAUUUUUUUUGUUUGUUUUGUUUUUAUUUCCUUUGGAGUGCAGUUCUCUUUUUCGGUUUAGUUGAAGUUUUUUUUUUACAUGUCCGCUUAAGUUUCUUGAUUCAGGUUAGUUUCUACGCACAUAGAGCUUUGUCGGUUGUUAUUAACCUUUUAUAGUCUCUGGUUGACUUUAAUAAGAGAAGAAUAUCGAGGGCACAUGUGAAGGACUUUUAUGUAUUUGCCUAUAUGCUUCAGUUUAAUCCUCUCCCUGCUAUUUUAAUGUCUAUAUUGUUCGGUUCAAACUGUUGAGAAUGAAUGUAUUCGUGUACCGAACGGGGACCACACACCCUGGGUAGCAAGUAGCAAUUAGAACACAGAGAAAACCGCAACUUAAUUGCUACUAGGUGGCCGCCCUUUGACAUACGAACACGUGGCGAGAACAAAGGAUGGCGGCCAUCUUAAAACUCACGAAUGCGGUCUGCGGGGCUUAUGCAUGAAUUGCAUGGAACUGUUUUCGGUACGGGAACCAUGCGAACGCCCGGUCCCCAUGGAAGUCCUGGAUGAAUACGUUCCCCUUCACGAAUCAAACUGGCGUUCGGUAGAUAGUAUCUACCGAAUGAGGGGAACAUUCACAAGUAACCAGCUGAACCAUACGAACGGUGGUUUUCAUGUAGUUAGAUGCGAACGGAGACCGGCUCUUGCUACUGAUUCUAUGGAACUGUAACUCGGAUACCUCCACAUGGCAAGCCGGUCAAACUUCCACAUGAUGCGACACGGAGACUACCGAACGGAAAUUCGUGAGAUUUGGAUAUGUGACUACCAGUAUCCUCAGCUAUCCAGGGAUGUUAAAAGUUUAUUUGUAUGUCUUAUAAAAAGUAUGUUUCUGAAAUUGUCAUAAAUCGUAAUGUUUCUGGCCAGCAGAUAAUUGAGCUUUGUGUAUUGUAGAAACUCAAUUAUCUAGCCUGGCCCGGAGGAGGAGUUUUGUGUUGCAUAAAUUGUGAGUUCUGUGUGCCAGUAAAUCAGUCUUGUUCCAGCAUUAAGCUUUGGCUCAUGUGUGGAUUAUUCGGCGAUUCCAGGGAUAUUUCUGCUUAUGGAAUAUUGAGUGCUUUUCUUUUAUGGGAAGAAGGGAAUGCUUGACGGGGAUAUUUUCUACUACCGUCACAACUGGUUGGCAGCGGCAGGAUUUUCCCUUCUACUUUCCUUUACACCAGGAUUCCAAGCAGACACUGGGAACAGUGAAUGGAAGGCUGGGACACCCUGCUUAAAAGAAAUACACUGAAAGAACUACUGGAAGUUCGUGGAAGGAUUGCUAGCAACAAAACCAAGCGGGUCAUCAUAGCAGAAUUAAUGGAGCUAGACCAGGAGAACUUGGUUGCAGCAAUGCCAGCAGUACAAGAGAUGGAGACACCAGUGAUUCAGGAGAAGGAAUCACCAGCCAACAAGGUAAUGGUUCGGUCCGAACACAACGGCGGAUGUGGUGCUGAAAGUGAUGAACCUGUUAGCGGAGGAGGCUAAACAAAUAAGAGACGCAGAGCUACAGUUAAAACUGGCAGCAGUCCAACAAGCAGCCGCACAUUCUCCAAACAGUGAGUACAGCACAGCAGACACAAGGAAGAUUCCGUUUAGCGCUUUUAAAGCUUUUGAUGAAAAAGACUGUGAAAUUGAUAACUACCUGGCAGAUUUUGAGCGACAAUGUAACCUGCACCGAAUAGCUAGGGGAGAGUGGGUUUCAAUAUUGUCAGGCAAACUGUCAGGCAAAGCUUCUGAUGCUUUCCGGACCAUGCCAGAGCAGGAGAUCCAUAGCUACACCAGGGUUAAAGAAGUGCUCCUGGCUCGUUAUGCAGUAACCCCAGAGUCCUACCGAAAGAAGUUCAGGGACUCACGCAAAACCACGAAAGACUCUUACGUGGAAUGGGCAUUCCAGUUAUCCCUGUCGGCCUCUAACUGGGUUAACAGCAGCCAGGCCACCACCGCAGAGGACAUUCUGCAACUAAUGCUCCUGGAGCAAUUUUACAAUCACAUCCAGACGGAUGUCAAAGACUGGGUGAGAGAUCGCAGGCCCAUGACUCUACCAGAGGCCGCUAAGUUGGCAGAUGAAUAUGCGGAUACUCGCAAGACGAACCAGGUCACACCAUGGGUACAACCUCCACGACCAACGGUGCCCUCAAACCCACCAGCCGCUAGAUACCAACCUCCUAACAGACCGGUGACAUCUAGCCCUCGCUAUCCACGCCAGGAGGACAAUGAACAACGCUGCUUCUGGUGCAAACAGCUGGGUCACUUCAAGCAGAAUUGCCCCAUGGACAACAACACCAGGUCAAAUUGGUCUCGACCUGGAUACCGCCCACCAGCAGCAGCCCAUUGUGUAGACUCGGCUUGGUAUCCCCAGGAGCUGGGUCAGGAAGAACCAUUGGGCACCCUUUACGAAGCCCUCAUGGUAAAUCUGUUAUUACGGACAAUCGGAAACACCAUUGUCAGCUGGUCAUGGUUAACGGCAAAACCGCCCGGGGAUUAAGAGACAGUGGGGCGACCAUCACGUUGGUACAAAGACACCUUAUUAAUGCAUCAGAGAAACCGGGGAAAUCAAUUGCUGUGAGAGUGGCAGGGGGGGCAGUAUACCGUAUUCCUACUGCACAGGUACACCUGGACUUGGGUGCGGGAGCUGGCAAUGUUCAUGUGGGCGUCAUGAAAGACUUACCUUCUGAAGUCAUCUUGGGCAACGACAUUGGCCCCCUGACUUCGGCGUUCGCCUCUACCACCGCUCAGGAGGCCCACGCAGUAACCACCAGAGCACAAAGUCGCGCUGCCGAGAGCCAUCCGCUUCCUACUGAGACCCAGGUAAGCCAACCCAACCUACCCUUGACUGUAGAACCCCUACCCUGGGACACCCCAGAGGACUUUGGGCGGGAGGUGACCGGAGACCCUUCCCUCAGAAAGUAUCGAGAGAAAGCCAGGAGGGGCCAAGAGGGGUUAGAGAAAGAGCAAUUUAUCUGGGAGAAAGGCCGCUUGUACAGGCUCACUGAGACCCGGGGUAAUGCACCAAGCAAAAACGCCAGCUGGUAGUUCCCUGGAAGUACCGGCAGGAGUUAUUGAGGAUUGGGCAUGAUGUACCCUUGGCAGGCCAUUUGGGAAUACGCAAGACGGGGUAUCGGAUAACCCAGAACUUUUUCUGGCCUGGGGUAUCCGAUGACGUCAGGGCGUAUUGUCAAACGUGCGAGGUAUGCCAACGUAUAGGUAAAAAGGGAGACCACCCAAAGGCUAAACUAGUUUCCAUGCCCAUUAUUGAAGAACCGUUCACAAGGGUAGCCGUGGACAUUAUAGGGCACCUGGCCCAACCUAGCCGUUGCGGCAAGCGUUAUAUACUCACCGUAGUAGACUAAGCCACCCGUUACCCCGAAGCGGUAGCUCUCUCUAGCAUACAGGCUGAGACCGUGGCAGAGGCCCUAGUUAAAAUAUUUUCCCGAGUAGGCUUUCCCAAGGAGGUUCUGUCCGACCAAGGUACACAACUCACGGCCGAGGUAACCCAGCAGAUAUGGAAAACCUGUGGAGUUAAAUCCCUGACUAGCUCCCCAUACCACCCCCAGACUAACGGCCUGUGCGAGCGCUUCAACGGAACGCUGAAGCAAAUGUUGAAGUCGUUCACGGGGGCGUACAAGGAUUGGGAGCGAUUCCUGCCACACCUUCUCUUUGCCUACCGAGAGGUGCCGCAGGAAUCGACCGGAUUCUCACCCUUCGAACUUCUCUAUGGGAGACGGGUGAGGGGGCCCUUAGAUCUCAUCAAGGAUCACUGGGAAGGGCAAACAGAAAUUGAGGGGACCCCAGUUGUACCUUAUGUCCUGGAGCUGAGGGACCGCAUGGAGGAAUUAGCCCAGACAGUGCGAGAGAACCUCCAGGAGGCCCAGCAGCGCCAGAAGGUAUGGUAUGACCGACGGGCUAGGCACCGGAGCUUUCAGAUAGGCCAGAAGGUCAUGGUGUUAAGGCCGGUCCGAACAGACAAGCUCCAGGCCGCCUGGCAGGGCCCCUAUAAAGUUAUAGGACAGAUAUGCAACACUACCUACACGAUAGCCAGCUGCGAGGAUGAAGAUGUGAAACGAACCUUUCACAUCAACAUGUUCAAGGCCUAUCAGGAACGGGCAGAGGAGGUAGCCGCUAUCUGUGCACCAGUUACUUGGGGGUCUCCAGAGCUUCACAUGCACCUAGAGCACGUAGGGGUAGUAUUAGAUAGGAUCAGGUGGGCCGGGCUGACCCUGAAACCCGACAAAUGUCAUUUGGGUAUGGCGAAGGUACAAUAUUUGGUACAAUAUUUGGGCCACCGAGUAGGAUGUGGAAGACACAGAAACACUACCCCUUCCCGACCUAUUAGGCAGUAAUGAAGGGAUGACCCAGAUCCAGCUAGGCGAACAGCUGGAGCCGCAAGAGCGGGCUCAAGCUGUCCGCUUACUAGAAACGAAACAGGCCACAUUCUCUCAGGAGCCUGGGUACACACUCCUAGCCGUACACAAGGUGGAGACUCCAGGACAGGCACCCCUAAGACAGCCUCCUUACCGUAUUCCAGAAGCAGUCCGGGAAGGGAUGCGGAAGGAAAUAGAUGAGAUGCUUCGGCUAGGCGUAAUCGAACACUCAGAAAGUCCUUGGGCCUCGACGGUAGUCUUAGUGCCAAAGAAGGAUGGGACAACCUGCUUCUGUGUAGAUUACCGGCGCCUCAACGACAAGACGGUUACGGACGCCUAUCCAAUGCCACGGAUGGACGAGCUGCUUGACCGUAUCUCUGCAAGGAAGUACCGGACCACAAUAGACCUAUGCAAGGGAUAUUGGCAGAUUCCCCUAGCAGAAGAUGCCAUACCCAAGUCGGCCUUCAUCACCCCGUUCGGCCUAUACCAAUUCCGGGUUAUGCCGUUCGGGAUGAAGAACGCCCCGGCCACCUUCCAACGGAUGGUGGACCAGUUACUUGGGGGUCUCCAGAGCUUCACAUGCACCUAGAGCACGUAGGGGUAGUAUUAGAUAGGAUCAGGUGGGCCGGGCUGACCCUGAAACCCGACAAAUGUCAUUUGGGUAUGGCGAAGGUACAAUAUUUGGGCCACCGAGUAGGAUGUGGUAAGCAACGGCCGGAGCCGGGUAAGAUCGAGGCCGUUGCCAAUUGGCCCACUCCCACACCAAGACACAAGUCAUGGCUUUCUUGGGCACAGCCGGCUAUUACAGACGCUUUGUACCCGACUAUAGCGCCCUGGCCAAACCCCUGACCGACGACCAAAAAGAAGCUACCCCGACAAGUCCUGUGGUCCCCGGAAUGCGAGGUGGCUUUCCAAGCACUAAAGACUGCUCUGGUUAAUGCUCCAGUGUUGGUUACCCCAGAUCCUAACAAAAUAUUUAUUGUCCACACAGACGCUUCAAUGUUUGGACUGGGGGCAGUACUAAGCCAGAUCGGAGAGGAUGGAGGAGAGCACCCGGUGGCAUACUUGAGUCGGAAGCUGUUGCCAAGGGAGGUCAGUUAUGCCACCAUUGAAAAAGAGUGUUUGGCCUUGGUAUGGGCACUCAAAAAGCUCACACCUUACCUUUAUGGCCGGGCUUUCACUCUCAUCACCGAUCACAAUCCCUUGGUGUGGCUUAACCGGGUUUCAGGGGCCAACGCCUGUUUGCUACGCUGGAGCUUGGCCUUACAGCCCUAUGACUUUAAGAUUCAUUAUAGUCCAGGCAAGCAAAACGGGAAUGCUGAUGGAUUGUCACGCCAAACGGAUUUAACCUCGGACUAAAAACUCUGAACCCGUCAACCCUACUGGACCAGGAAAGGUCCAACCGAGUUGCCGGAGCAGGGAGAAAAAGGGGGGCCAUUGUGAAGGACUUUUAUGUAUUUGCCUAUAUGCUUCAGUUUAAUCCUCUCCCUGCUAUUUUAAUGUCUAUAUUGUUCGGUUCAAACUGUUCAGAAUGAAUGUAUUCGUGUACCGAACAGGGAUCACACACCCUGGGUAGCAAGUAGCAAUUAAAACACAGAGAAAACCGCAACUUAAUUGCUACUAGGUGGCCGCCAUUCGACAUACACGUGGCGAGAACAAAGGAUGGCGGCCAUCUUAAAAUUCACGAAUGCGGUCAGCGGGGCUUACGCAUGAAUUGCAUGGAACUGUUUUCGGUACGGGAACCAUGCGAACGCCCGGUCCCCAUGGAAGUCCUGGAUGAAUACGUUCCCCUUCACGAAUAAACUGGCGUUCGGUAGAUAGUAUCUACCGAAUGAGGGGAACAUUCACAGGUAACCAGCUGAACCAUACGAACGGUGGUUUUCGUGUAGUUAGAUGCGAACGGAGACCGGCUCUUGCUACUGAUUCUAUGGAACUGUAACUCGGAUACCUCCACAUGGC
Molecule: long non-coding RNA, 8264 nt
Filed under: Pelobates cultripes (western spadefoot toad)
Lineage: Eukaryota; Metazoa; Chordata; Amphibia; Anura; Pelobatidae
Source: RNAcentral